CAUGCCCACUUUGGUUUAUUUUUGUCAGACAAAAAUAAUUCCCCACAUCCCUUUCUUGAUAAGAUCUAAUUUACUUCCACAUUUAAAUCAAAUUUAAAAGAGAAGUUAAGUCAUAAGGGAGAGAGAAUCCUAGAAAAGGUAGGGCGCCAAUCACACAUGCAAAGAAAAAGGAGAUGCAUCUUCAUGCAUCCCUCCUUUCUUUCUACA
Molecule: long non-coding RNA, 207 nt
Filed under: Elaeis guineensis (African oil palm)
Lineage: Eukaryota; Viridiplantae; Streptophyta; Magnoliopsida; Arecales; Arecaceae
Description: long non-coding RNA (EGUI_LNC029920)
Source: RNAcentral